Molecule: ribosomal RNA, 254 nt
Filed under: uncultured bacterium
Lineage: Bacteria
Description: partial 16S ribosomal RNA
Rfam family: Bacterial small subunit ribosomal RNA
Source: RNAcentral
UACGGAGGGUGCGAGCGUUGUCCGGAAUCAUUGGGCGUAAAGGGCGCGUAGGUGGCCCGGUCAGUUCGUGGUGAAAGCGCGGGGCUCAACCCUGCGUCGGCCAUGAAUACUGCCGCGGCUGGAGCACUGUAGAGGCAGGCGGAAUUCCGGGUGUAGCGGUGGAAUGCGUAGAGAUUCGGAAGAACACCGGUGGCGAAGGCGGCCUGCUGGGCAGUUGCUGACACUGAGGCGCGACAGCGUGGGGAGCAAACAGG